AUUGAACGCUGGCGGCAUGCUUUACACAUGCAAGUCGAACGGUAACAGGCCGCAAGGUGCUGACGGGUGGCGAACGGGGGAGUAAUGCAUCGGAACGGGCCCAGUCGUGGUGGAUAACUACUCGAAAGAGUAGCUAAUACCUCAUACGAGCUAUGGAUUAAAGCGGGGGGCCGUAAGGCCUCGCGCGAUUGGUGCUGUCGAUGUCAGAUUAGGUAGUUGGUGGGGUAACGGCUCACCAAGCCAACGAUCUGUAGCUGGUCUGAGAGGACGACCAGCCACACUGGGACUGAGACACGGCCCAGACUCCUACGGGAGGCAGCAGUGGGGAAUUUUGCACAAUGGGCGCAAGCCUGAUCCAGCAAUGCCGCGUGCAGGAAGAAGGCCUUCGGGUUGUAAACUGCUUUUGUACGGAACGAAACGGCUCUGGUUAAUACCCGGGGAUAAUGACGGUACCGAAAGAAUAAGCACCGGCUAACUACGUG
This 482-nucleotide ribosomal RNA is filed under the name uncultured bacterium. RNAcentral's name for it is "partial 16S ribosomal RNA". It matches the Rfam family "Bacterial small subunit ribosomal RNA", at positions 30 to 507 of the family's 1533-position model. The record is from RNAcentral.